This 809-nucleotide ribosomal RNA is filed under the name uncultured bacterium. RNAcentral's name for it is "bacterial SSU rRNA". It matches the Rfam family "Bacterial small subunit ribosomal RNA", at positions 1 to 818 of the family's 1533-position model. The record is from RNAcentral.
UGGCCGCGGGAUUAGAGUUUGAUCAUGGCUCAGGAUGAACGCUGGCGGCGUGCCUAACACAUGCAAGUCGAACGGGAGCCCUUGGAUUCGUCUGGGGGUGAGAGUGGCGAACGGGUGAGUAACACGUAGGUGACCUGCCCCAAAGAGGGGAAUAACUGCUGGAAACGGUGGCUAAUACCCCAUGUGCUCGAUGGUUCGGUCUGUCGAGUAAAGCCCUUCGGGACGCUUUGGGAGGGGCCUGCGGCCCAUCAGGUAGUUGGUAGGGUAACGGCCUACCAAGCCGAUGACGGGUAGGGGGCGUGAGAGCGUGAACCCCCACACUGGCACUGAGAUACGGGCCAGACUCCUACGGGGGGCAGCAGUGAGGAAUAUUGCCCAAUGGACGCAAGUCUGAGGCAGCAACGCCGCGUGGGCGAUGAAGGCCUUCGGGUUGUAAAGCCCUUUUCUGGGGGAAGAGGAAGGACGGUACCCCAGGAAUAAGUCACGGCUAACUACGUGCCAGCAGCCGCGGUAAUACGUAGGUGGCAAGCGUUAUCCGGAUUCACUGGGCGUAAAGCGCGUGCAGGCGGUUUCGUAAGUCGGACGUGAAAGCUCCUGGCUUAACUGGGAGAGGUCGUUCGAUACUGCGGGGCUUGAGGUCGGGAGAGGGACGUGGAAUUCCCGGUGUAGUGGUGGAAUGCGUAGAUAUCGGGAGGAACACCAGUGGCGAAGGCGACGUCCUGGCCCGCACCUGACGCUGAGACGCGAAAGCGUGGGUAGCGAACGGGAUUAGAUACCCCGGUAGUCCACGCUGUAAACGGUGGGUACUA